AGGGGAUAACUACUGGAAACGGUAGCUAAUACCGCAUAACGUCGCAAGACCAAAGAGGGGGACCUUAGGGCCUCUUGCCAUCGGAUGUGCCCAGAUGGGAUUAGCUAGUAGGUGGGGUAACGGCCUACCAAGGCGACGAUCAGUAGCGGGUCUGAGAGGAUGAUCCGCCACACUGGGACUGAGACACGGCCCAG
This 194-nucleotide ribosomal RNA is filed under the name uncultured Enterobacterales bacterium. Its description in RNAcentral is "partial 16S ribosomal RNA". It matches the Rfam family "Bacterial small subunit ribosomal RNA", at positions 138 to 334 of the family's 1533-position model. The record is from RNAcentral. Lineage: Bacteria; Pseudomonadati; Pseudomonadota; Gammaproteobacteria; Enterobacterales.